This 292-nucleotide ribosomal RNA is filed under the name uncultured bacterium. RNAcentral describes it as "partial 16S ribosomal RNA". It matches the Rfam family "Bacterial small subunit ribosomal RNA", at positions 505 to 796 of the family's 1533-position model. The record is from RNAcentral.
UUUCCAGCAGCCGCGGUAAUACGUAGGUGACAAGCGUUAUCCGGAAUUACUGGGCGUAAAGCGCACGCAGGCGGCGCAUUAAGUCUGAUGUGAAAUCUCCCGGCUUAACUGGGAGGGGUCAUUGGAAACUGAUGUGCUUGAGGCGGUGAGAGGGGUGUAGAAUUCCCGGUGUAGUGGUGGAAUGCGUAGAUAUCGGGAGGAAUACCAGUGGCGAAAGCGACACCCUGGCACUAGCCUGACGCUCAUGUGCGAAGGCGUGGGGAGCGAACGGGAUUAGAUACCCUCGUAGUCC